GCGUGAUCGAUGAAGGCCUUAGGGUUGUAAAGAUCUUUCAGCUGGGAAGAUAAUGACGGUACCAGCAGAAGAAGCCCCGGCUAACUCCGUGCCAGCAGCCGCGGUAAUACGGAGGGGGCUAGCGUUGUUCGGAAUUACUGGGCGUAAAGCGCACGUAGGCGGAUCAGCAAGUUAGGGGUGAAAUCCCGGGGCUCAACCCCGGAACUGCCUUUAAAACUGUUGGUCUGGAGUCCGAGAGAGGUGAGUGGAAUUCCGAGUGUAGAGGUGAAAUUCGU
RNAcentral lists this ribosomal RNA (275 nucleotides) under uncultured bacterium. Its description in RNAcentral is "partial 16S ribosomal RNA". It matches the Rfam family "Bacterial small subunit ribosomal RNA", at positions 399 to 691 of the family's 1533-position model. The record is from RNAcentral.